CUCAACUUUGUAAUCUGGCAGCUUCGCUGUCCGAGUUGUAGUCUCGAGAAAUGUUUUCCGCGCUGGCAUGUGUAUGAGUCUGUUGGAAUACAGCGUCAUAGAGGGUGAGAACCCCGUUCAUGACACAUCUCCCAGUGCUUUGUGAUACAUUUUCGAUGAGUCGAGUUGUUUGGGAAUGCAGCUCAAAAUGGGUGGUAAAUUCCAUCUAAAGCUAAAUAUUGGCGAGAGACCGAUAGCAAACAAGUACCGUGAGGGAAAGAUGAAAAGCACUUUGGAAAGAGAGUUAAAAGUACGUGAAAUUGUUGAAAGGGAAACGCUUGAAGUCAGACGUGCGCAGUGCGAUUCAGCUCUAUUUCGGUAGAGUGUAUUUCGUGCUAUUGCAGGCCAGCAUCGGUUUUGCGAGCCGGAUAAAGGUUAGUGGAAGGUAGCAUCUUCGGAUGUGUUAUAGCCUCUAACUGAAUACGGAUUGCGAGACCGAGGGACGCAGCACGGCGCAAGCCA
Molecule: ribosomal RNA, 501 nt
Filed under: Buckleyzyma sp.
Lineage: Eukaryota; Fungi; Basidiomycota; Cystobasidiomycetes; Buckleyzymales; Buckleyzymaceae
Description: partial large subunit ribosomal RNA
Rfam family: Eukaryotic large subunit ribosomal RNA
Source: RNAcentral